AUGAUACUGGAUUUGAAUAUUAAAGUGACUGCAUUUACCAGCUGCUUUCUGUCUUUAAUUUUAAUCUAUAAAAACAGAAAAUCAUUCGUCUUGGCUGCUUUUUUUGUAUGUAUUCAUGUAUUUAUUAUUAUUAUUAUUUUUUUUUUUUUUUGCUCUAACAAGAACGAACAAAUCAAGAACAAGGUUAUUUCAAAAUACAUAAUAGCUUGGCGAAUAUAAACGAAAACAGCCACGUGAAUAUAAACUGUUGAGAAAUAAAUCUGAAGUGGAUCAUGAUACUGGAUUUGAAUAUUAAAGUGACUGCAUUUACCAGCUGCUUUCUGUCUUCAAUUUUUAAUCUAUAAAAAAACAGAAAAAUCAUUCUUCUUGGCUGCUUUUUUUUUUUUUGUAUGUAUGUAUUCAUGUAUUUAUUAUUAUUAUUAUUAUUAUUAUUAUUAUUUUGCUCUAACAAAAAUUUAUCUAUAUUUAACUAAAUCGAUGACGUUAUUUUACAUUUGAUUUCUGCAUCCAAACACUUAUAAACUUAAAACAUGCACUAUUAAACUAUUGUUAGCAAUUUCUUUAUCGUCCAAUUUAACUGGUGUACACACUUUUAUUUUCAUAAUAAAUUAGUUUUUUAGAUUAUAGACAGUUACAGUGGUCUAUAAUAAAUAUUAACAGGUUUUGUUCAAGCUGCUUAAAAUGUUUGAAGUAGGCUAAUUUUUUUAAAUGUAAAUCCUAAAAAAAAUAAAAUAAAUAAAAAUAAAUAAAACAAACAAAACAAAAAAAAAUGUAGCAACUCAUAGUAAUCAUUCAACACUGCUUAAAAAUGUAAAUUGAAAAUUAAACUCAUGAUUAAGCAUGAAAUAAGAUACAGAAUCAGUAAAUAAGAUUUUAAUGUGGGUAUAUUAUCAAUAAACUAAUCAUUAAAUAUUUAUAAUCAUUCAAAAAAUAUUGGCCCCUUUCAUCAUGUUGUUCAAAAACGAAGGCCACAAUGCUAAUGUUGUCCACUCGAUGGCGCCACAGGAUAGCAAAUACUUCAAGAUCUGUUCAAAGACUUGAAAAUGUUUCAUUUAUGUGCAUUAAUAAAAAAUGCAUAAACAUUCAUUCUUUUUUCAUAAACUUUAAUAAAGCCCAUUAUUGUAAUUAUGCAAAAGCUAUCAGCUCCUAAAUACCAUUACUUUUUGUUAGUUUAAUUGUAUUGACAACAUAUUUCUCAAGUUAUCACACAUUACUGAAAAAGUGUAGAAGGGACACUAUAUUAGUUAUCUAUUUUCAUGUUGUGCAUAUAAUAAUACUCACAUAAAGACUCAUGAUUUACUUGAAAAGAGACACGUUCAUUGUGUAACUGCAUCAUCUACACAAACCAAUGUGCUUGGACCCCUAAUAAUCACCUUGACUUAAACCACAUUGUUUCAGUUGCCUUCUGUGUCUUUGCCCACAACGCUUCAGUGACUGGAAUGUGAAAUAGCAAACAGGGGAAAAAAUAAAAGGCAUGACUUUUUUUGCAUCGAGCUAGCCAACUCUAUUACAGAUGUUCCACAGCCAAAACUUUUAUUAGAAUAGAAAAUAGCGAGGGUUCGAAUAAAUAGUUUAUUAAUCAUUUAAUUUCACUUUCUUAAUGAAUAUUGUUCUGUGUAUGGGAUUUCAAAGUCUUGAUGCUUCGGAUUAACCCGUUAAUUGCCGUAUCCCUUAAAACCUGACUUCCAGAGGGUUACUGUAAAUGCAUGUGCCCGCUGGGCACAGUUUACCUGAUGCCACCGGGGUGGCGUUUGCGCUGAUGGCUUGAGCCCGCCAUUGCUGCUUGCAGCUAUAUUUAUUAUUAUUAUUUUUUUUUUCCAACGUCUCGGGGGCUUUUGGGGCCCUUAACAUACUCGAAAACUCUUGAAAAUUGGCACACACAUUGGAACCUGCGGCCAUUAGGGCCGGGCAGAGACUGAUACAUGGGCGUGGCACAGGGGCUCUACAGCGCCCCCUGGAAUAUGGAGGGCCAUAUAUCAUACAUACUUGCACGUAGACGUAUGAAACUCGGUACACAUAUAGAUCUCAUCAAGCCAAACAACUUUCGUACUGCAUGUCAUAGGCUCCGCCCAACAGGAAGUUGGCUAUUUAGGGUUUAGUAUUCUUAUUUUUCGUCAAAGUUGUGGGGGGCUUUUGGGGCCCUUAACAUGCUCAAAAACUCUUGAAAAUUUGCACACACCUUAGAAUCUGUGGCCAUUAGGAGGCUGCAGAGGCUGAGACCCGGGCGUGGCACAGGGGCUCUAUGGCGCCCCCUGGAACACAGUCAGAAAUGUUGAUGUAUAGUUCAAACAUACUUGCACGUAUUCAUAUGAAACUCAGUACACAUAUAGAUCUCAUUGUGCCGAACAACUUUCGUAUUGCAUGUCAUAGGCUCCGCCCAACAGGAAGUCAGCUAUUUUGUGCUAUGUAAAAAAAGUGCAUGCUCUGGAAUUUGAUAUACUUGUCAUAGGUUUUUUUACCCGAUUGCCACCAA
Long non-coding RNA from Cyprinus carpio carpio, 2473 nucleotides. NCBI's taxonomy places the organism in Eukaryota, Metazoa, Chordata, Actinopteri, Cypriniformes, Cyprinidae. The record is from Ensembl.